GACGAACGCUGGCGGCGUGCCUAAUACAUGCAAGUAGAACGCACAGUUUAUACCGUAGCUUGCUACACCAUAGACUGUGAGUUGCGAACGGGUGAGUAACGCGUAGGUAACCUGCCUGGUAGCGGGGGAUAACUAUUGGAAACGAUAGCUAAUACCGCAUAAUAUUGAUUAUUGCAUGAUAUUUGAUUGAACGAUGCUAUUGCAUCACUACCAGAUGGACCUGCGUUGUAUUAGCUAGUAGGUGAGGUAACGGCUCACCUAGGCGACGAUACAUAGCCGACCUGAGAGGGUGAUCGGCCACACUGGGACUGAGACACGGCCCAGACUCCUACGGGAGGCAGCAGUAGGGAAUCUUCGGCAAUGGACGAAAGUCUGACCGAGCAACGCCGCGUGAGUGAAGAAGGUUUUCGGAUCGUAAAGCUCUGUUGUAAGAGAAGAACGGGUGUGAGAGUGGAAAGUUCACACUGUGACGUUAUCUUAACAGAAAGGGACGGCUAACUACGUG
This 505-nucleotide ribosomal RNA is filed under the name uncultured bacterium. Its description in RNAcentral is "partial 16S ribosomal RNA". It matches the Rfam family "Bacterial small subunit ribosomal RNA", at positions 28 to 507 of the family's 1533-position model. The record is from RNAcentral.